AAUCAUUCUUCGUUGAUUAGGGCAAGAAAUUCUCAUUUAUAUUCUUAGAUGGAUAGCUAAUGUUAAUGGCGACAUAAUCUUACUCUGGAAGCAAAGGAUCUGGAAUCGAUUCAACGCUGGAGAUGAAUCUGUAAGUAAACAGACGGUAGAGGAUUCACCUAUGUUCUCGAGCUGUUGCAAUUCUUCCUGCAUCAUUACGAUUUAUCAUUUA
Benincasa hispida (wax gourd) is the source of this 211-nucleotide long non-coding RNA. RefSeq lists it as uncharacterized. Lineage: Eukaryota; Viridiplantae; Streptophyta; Magnoliopsida; Cucurbitales; Cucurbitaceae. The record is from RefSeq and is a predicted model, not a curated record.